This 108-nucleotide ribosomal RNA is filed under the name Pteropus alecto (black flying fox). Lineage: Eukaryota; Metazoa; Chordata; Mammalia; Chiroptera; Pteropodidae. The record is from RNAcentral.
GUCUACGGCCAUGCCACCCUGAAAGUGACUGAUCUUGGAAGUUAAGCAGGGUCGGGCCUGGUUAGUACUUGGAUGGGUGACCACCUAGGAAGACCAGGUGCUUAGGCU